AUGGAUUAUCCUUUACACAAAAGACGGUACUCCUUGACAUCGCUUGUUUUUUUUCAAGGUGAAGAUAGAGACUUUGCUUCAAAAAUAUGGGAAAGUUCUAAGUUGUAUGGUGAAACAAAUAUAAGAGAUCUAUUGGAUAAAUGUCUUAUAACUAUUGCACACAAUAGGAUAUAUAUUCAUGGUUUGAUCGAGAAAAUGUGCAAGAAAAUUGUUCAAGAACAACAUCCUAAAGACCCUAGCAAAUGGAGCAGACUAUGGAAUUCAGAUGAUAUCUAUUGUACAUUUGAAAGUGAAGAGGGGAUGGAAAAUGUUGAAACCAUUUCUCUAGACUUGUCUAGAUCAAAAGAAAAAUGGUUCACUACAAAAAUAUUUGCCCAUCUGAAGAAAGUGUUUGCCAAGAUGAAGAAACUUAGAUUGCUCAAAGUCUAUUAUAGUCUUGGCGAUGAGCAUAAAAUGUCUCUUCCUAAAGACUUUGAAUUUCCUCCUAAUUUAAACUAUCUUCAUUGGGAAGGUUUAGUGUCUUUGCCUUCAAAUUUUCAUGGAGAGAAGCUUGUUGCAAUCAACUUGAAGUCUAGCAACAUAAAAGAACUUUUGAAAGGGGAGAAGUGUCUUGCAGAAUUGAAGUUCAUUGAUCUAAGUAACUCACAACAGCUCAUCAAAAUACCAAAAUGGUCAAGGAUGCCAAAAUUGGAGAUACUUAAUCUUGGAGGUUGUGUAAACUUUUGCAAACUUCAUUCAUCUAUUGGCAAAUUUUUUGAGAUGAAAUUUUUGAGGGUGCUUAAUUUUAGAGAGAAUGGAAUUAGAGAACUCCCAAGCAGCAUUGGGUCCUUGACAUCUCUUGAAGGUCUUGGGCUCUCAAAGUGUUCAAAGUUUGAGAAAUUCCCUGAUAAUUUCUUUGUGAAUAUGAGACGUUUAAGCAUACUUGUGUUAUCUGAUAGUGGUAUUAAAGAACUCCCAACCAGUAUUGAGUGCUUAGAGGCUCUUGAAGUGCUGUUGCUUGAUAAUUGCUCAAAUUUUGAGAAGUUCCCUGAUAUCCAAAAGAAUAUGGAAAAUCUAGGUAGGCUUGAUCUAGAUGGUAGUGGUAUUAAAGAAUUAUCUUGCUUGAUAGGUCAUCUUCCCCGACUUCAAUCCUUAAAAUUGAGAAAAUGCAAAAACUUGAGGAGUGUUCCAAGCGGCAUUUUACAGUCGGAAUCCCUGCGCAUCUGCUAUCUCGAAGAUUGUUCAAAUCUAGGGAUCAUGGAGGAUAUGGAACAUUCAAAAGGCCUUUCUUUACUUGAAUCAGCUAUAACAGAGCUGCCAUCAUCAAUUGAACGUCAAAAAUGUGUGGCAAGGUUGAUCUUGAGCAAUUGUGAGAACCUUGAGACUCUUCCAAACAGCAUUGGUAUGGCGCGUGUUAGUGCACUUUUUGUUCAUAACUGUCCAAAGCUCCACAAAUUGCCCGACAAUCUGAGAAGCAUGCAGUUAAAAGAACUAAAUGUAAGUGGUUGCAAUCUGAUGGCAGGAGCAAUCCCCGAUGAUUUAUGGUGCUUGUUCUCAUUGGUAGAUUUAAAUGUGAGUGGAAACAACAUUGAUUGCAUACCUGGUGGCAUCAUUCGUCUUUCUCGGUUGCGUUACCUUAUCAUGAAUAACUGCUUGAUGCUUAAAGAAAUUCCAGAGCUUCCAUCAAGUCUAAGACAGAUAGAAGCAUAUGGUUGUCCACUCCUGGAAACUUUAUCAAGUGAUGCAAAGCAUCCACUCUGGUCCUCUCUUCACAACUGCUUAAAAUCACACAUUCAGGAUUUUGAAUGCCCAACAUACUGGAGGCAGUACUUCCAUGUACAAGUUGUUAUUCCAGGAAGUAGAGGAAUACCAGAGUGGAUAAGUCAUAAGAGUAUGGGAGAUGAAAUAACAAUAGAUCUCCCAAAGAAUUGGUAUGAAGAUAACAACUUCUUGGGAUUUGCUUUAUUCUGUCAUCAUGUUCCAGUUGAUGAUGACGAUGACGAUGAUGAUGACGAUGACGAUGACGAUGACGAUCUCGAUGGGGGUGGUAUCCAUCGAUUGUUCAUAUCCAAUGGUGAUCAAUUUGGACACGUGAGGACGACUGACCCUAUUCUGGAUUGUAGUCGAGACAUGAAUAGCACAUUAUUUGCAGAUCCAGCAUUGAUGGUGGUCUAUGUCCCUCAGAUUGCCAUUUCAAGUGAGUAUCGAUCCAAUGGGUGGAACAAGUUUGAGGCUGGCUUUUCGUCCAUUUUUAUUGAGCCUAACGGCAAAGCAAGUGGCAAAGUGGAAAGUUGUGGGAUCCAUCUCAUAUAUGACCAUGGCCAAGAUCACCCUCAACAGAGCCUUCAACUAUUCAAUGUCAAAAGAAGCCAUGAUGAUACAGAGGAUCACCCACAUGUCUAGUUUCCAGCUCCCUCCGCCAAGGCUCUCAGCUAGGCGCUCCUCUCUCUCCCAUCAACUUUGGUUUCGGUCUCUCCUCUCAUCGUUGACGAAUCACAAACCUCACCGGCGCAAUGGGCAAUGAAAUAUUCCUGUUGCCGAAAACGCUGAUUGGUCGGAGAUUAAAGCCCUAGAUCAACCAGAAUCUCACUGAAGAAACCUACAGAAAAAAGAGCAUCCUUGAGACUGCGAAAACAAGUUCGAGAAGACAUUUUGUUUAGAUGUUCUUCCUUAGCUUGAUUGAGCACACGCUGCAAUUGCGGCCUCAUCUUCUGGACCUUCCAAUCAAUGAAGCCGUCAAAGGAGAGUUUGAAAGUCUCUUCUUAGACAAGCCAAAAUUGAUGAUUUUGAGCGGAUUCGCCCACAAGAACUGAAUGAACAAAAUAGAGAAGCCUUAGUUGCUGAGAAUAAUCUGGUACUCAAUCAUCAUGUUUCAUCUUUUCUUUCUUUUUCUUAACUUUUAUUCUCACUUCAGUUGGUAAUUUUCAUUCUGGUGGAACCCUGAUAAACCAUUGAUAAUACCAAAAAGUAUAAUUGAAAUCCUGGGAAACUAUGAAUUAGUUUUUAAUGAUGGCAACAGAGGAGAGACAAUGGGGAAUUUUGUAGACUACAUCUAGGUUUCAGGCAUGAACUGCAGUUCUAUGGGCUUGGUUCUACUUGUCCUGUACUAGAGUGAAGGUUCUAUUUUUUUUUCCAAUUACUGGAUCAAAUAGGACUUAAAUAAGUGAAAUUCGGGUGUGAUAAUGGAAGCAAUAUAGUUAUUUGGUCUUUUCUUUCUUUCACUUCUGGGUCCCUGACAAUGAUAUUCAUUGAUGCAAAAAAUGAAGAUCCUUCCAGUCAAUGAUAUGGAUCUUGCAUUGCACAGUCUUGUCAACAAAUAUGACAAAAUGUCUUUCUAUUCUUGUGUUCAAUAUAAUCUGGAAGAGACACAUGUAAGUACUCCAUAUUAUGUCUUCAAAUUUCUGUGGCAAUAUCGCAGACAGUUUAGGUUGGUUUUUAGUUAUACCACAUCUAUAUGGUAUUGAAUUUGUUUUAAUAUAACAAUUGUAAGUAUAUUUAGAUGAUUUUGAGUUGUUUGUGGAUUUAUCUGAUGUAUGUAGAUACUAUGCUUGUGUUCAUGGUUGGUUUUUCUAUUUGGACAGAGUAAAAUUGCUCAUGAUUCAAGAUUUAAUUCUUAAAGUUGGAGAGUGCUUGGAGGCAAGAAGCUUAUUCUUAUUCUCUUCUUUCCUUUUUUAAUUAUUGUAAGGGUUCAAUAUUUCCUAGUGUUGUCUAAUUGUCUCCUAGGUGACUUCUUUCCCUUUCUGUAGGCAUUAUUAAAUAUAUAUAUAAGCAGUGAUUUUAAAUCUAAAACUUAAUUAUACUAUUUGCCUUUUGAGUAGUUAGGAUUAAGACUUCUUGAGUAAAAGAAGGAAUCUCUCUACUGUACUCUUUCUUCCCCACUCUUCCUUCCCCUUUAGGACAUUGCUUUGCAGAAGUAGCAUUUGUUAUCUCACUGACACUUGGUGUGAACCUGCUGCCUGCAUAGCUUGCCUAUAUAGGCAAUAUAUAGAGUGAUUUAUCACAACAGGUAGUUUCGUUUUAUAGUGAUUUCAAACACAAUAUAUUUCUGAAUUUUAUUUUACCUGCUUCCUAUUCCCAUUUACUCUUCCUUAUGAGGUAUACACCAUUUGUCUCAACUUAAAACAUGGCCUUCCAUUGAUAUACAAUAGUUUGGUUCAUUGCAGUUGGUCCAUUGAUAUAAAGUGUACCACCUUGCUGUAAAUCCAGGCAACCAUCAAAAUUUUUAGCCAUGUAAAUGAAAAUUUUGUAUAUGAUGGAUAAUUGCAUCCUUACACCUUAUUGUUUCAGUUCAUUUAUAACAUAAAACUCGGGUAUGGUCAAUGAACUCACUUCAUGAAUUUUUGGUAAUGCCCAAGCUCAAGCUUGAGUUUUAAGUCAAUUAUAUAGAGACUGAAAAAGAACACUACUGCUUAAACCUUAAAUUUGAGCUAGGAAAAGCAUGAGCUUUAAUUUUUGUUACAUUGUAGACACUCCUAAAACUUGGUAUUCUAUUUCCAAUGAAAAGAGACAAAAAGAGCACUACCAUGCUGGAGCUUACUUUUUCUUAAUAACUGGACUCACACACAAGCUGCUUUUUUCGCCCUAAAUUCUGUAUAUUUAAUUAUCAUGCAACAAGGCCAGAAAUUACAAAGUAAUUCCAACCAUGGUUGUUUUUCCUUAUUCAUCUUCUCACAUUUUCAUUUUCGACCCAAAAUAGCUAGAGAUAUUAUUUUCUUUGAUUGCUUUCUCUUAUAUCGGGUUCCAAAUGGUAUGAAAAAACUUCUAGGCUUGCAAAUACUUCUCUAAAAUCUAAUUUAUAGUACUAUUGCUGACUUGCUUUUGAACUAUUCUUUCCCCUUCAUUUUCCAAUAUUAUAUAUUCUCUCUCUCUCUCUCUCUUUUUUUUUUUUUCUUUUUGAUAAGAACAAAACAACUCCUUCACAAUAUGAGCCAACUGAUGUUCCAUUUUCUUUCAAAAAUGGUUCCCUUAACAGCCAUGCAAAUUUUCUGCAUAAAAUAGACGAUUUUCUUCAAUAUUCAUUAGAAAGGUGAACUCCGGUGAAGUUUACAUAUAAGGUGUGAUCAUAUUAUGAACUAAUUCUCUUUUAUCUUUAUUUGCUAUAUUCUUAUUGGCCUUCACUUUUAACUUCUGUUUAUCUUUUUUUUCUUCUGGAUUACAACCCCAAAAAUCUGCCAACCUGCCUACAAAAGAAAAGAAUUGUUUAGUGGAGCACAUUGUGUGAAGUUCUAUAUUUGCUAAUAAGUUUACUUCUUGUUCUUGUUCUGACUAGGUAAAAAGGGAAAAAGAAAAACAAUUACUGAGGCAGUUUUUUGUGGAGAUUCUGGACAAGUGCCUCACUCUAGAAUGAUUGAUUUGCUUCCUAGCUUCUUGCAAAAUUGCAUUUCCUCUUUUGAAGUUGAUGGUAGUUUAUAUCCUGCAACCUUUUAUAGUUAAGGGCGAAGAACUAUAAUUGUUAGUAAUAAAAAGAUAACAUGCAGAAACAGGAAAAUCAGCUCAAACUAGCCCUACUAGCUCAAAUCCCAGUCCUUAGCCCAUUAUUGACUCAUAUGAUAGGCUUACAUGAUGUAUCUACCUGCUACCUCAGACCUCAAUGUUUGUUAUACUAAUGGGGUGCUUGUACUUAGACAAAUGGAGUUGCUACUGUAGAAGCACGGUGGCUCAGACUGGUCUCAGAAACAACCCAUCUCAGGAUCAAUUACCAAAGAGGAGGAAGAAGCAGUGGAGACCCUGUACACAUUAGUAGGAAUGUUCCCCAACAGUGAUAAGACGGACAAUAAGGGUGAAUUGGUUGGCGAAUCAUCAGAAUCAAAGCAUUCAACUUUGCCAGAGGCGAGGGAGAGCCCUGCACCCACAUUAGUUUCAUACUACCAAAGACAUACUGUCAAAGAUAGUACAAAAAUGCCAAAAUUGAUGAUUUUGAGCGGCUUCGCCCAGAAGAACUGAAUCAACAAAAUAUAGAAGCCUUAGUUGCUGAGAACAAUCUGGAGCGGGUCAAGGAAAGGUCAGUGCACUCCAAGGAAACCCCACAGUUCAUGUCAGGUGCUCAGUCAUUGGAGAAUAUCACAAGUAAAGGUACUGCAGAAACUGGAAGUGCAGUUUCCUUUAGUGAUGAUGAAGACCUCAGCCAGUUAUCUGGGUCAAAAUCUACCACUAAGGGCAGAAGUAGUUCAUCAGCAACUUUUAAGUACUCCCAUGAUGCUUCUGAACAUGGUAAAGAUGUACAGUUGAGGGAAAUGCCAUCCUUUGCAUUGGGGAGAUUGGCAUAGACAAAUGGAGUUGCUACUGUAGAAGCAUGGUGACUCAGACUGGUCUCAGAAACAACCCAUCUCAGGAUCAAUUACCAAAGAGGAGGAAGAAGCAGUGGAGACCCUGUACACAUUGGUAGGAAUGUUCCCCAACAGUGAUAAGACGGACAAUAAGGGUGAAUUGGUUGGCGAAUCAUCAGAAUCAAAGCAUUCAACUUUGCCAGAGGCGAGGGAGAGCCCUGCACCCACAUUAGUUUCAUACUACCAAAGACAUACUGUCAAAGAUAGUACAAAAAUGGUAUACAUCUUUUCCUUGAACGGAUUUUCCCAUUUCAUAAUUUUUUUGGUCAUUGCUUAGAAUGCAGAACAUAGCUCUUGCAUCUACUUCUGCAUAUUAAUAUUCUCAUCAUGCCUUAAUCUUUGAUUUUUGGUUGGAAGAUCUGGUAUUAUGGCCAGGCUUGUCAUCAACAGGGUUGCUUGGGACAGCAAUUCAUGGCCCUUCCUUGCAUUCUUCUUCUAGAACUCAAGCUUGGCUAGAUAAUGCUACUGGCACUACAUGACCUAGUUCAUUUGGAAAUGGUGUCUCAACCGAAAAGGUUUCUAGAGUUACAGUGCAUAAAAAGCAAUCAUGGAAAAGAUGUGCAGCUCAUAUGUUCACAUAAGUUGUCUUAUUUGGGAUUUAAAAAAUUCAGAGAGAAAGGAAAGGAUUUCAAUGCAGCGUAACCAAUUGAGAACAGAUGAAGAAUCAAAGGAAGUAGUUUCUCUGGCAGGCAACAAUCCCAGUGGCCUGAGAAAUGGAUUGAAUGGAGUUGUUUCUGCUAACAGCAUAGGUGGUUCAGCCAUGGAGAAGAAUUCAAUUGAAGCUAGAAAAGGUAUUUUUCGACCGCAGGGGCUCCAUCAAGAUCAGCAGUGGGCUCCUGCAUCUGGGACCUACACUUCUCUUUGUCUAAGUACAGUAGCAACUCCAUUUGUCUAAUGCUGGUUCUCCUGGAAAUAAUCUUACUCUAGUUGAUCCCUGCCCUUAUGAAAGGAACAAUAGUCAUGUGGAUGCUCAAUUGUAUUUGAUUUUGUUUGGUUGUGUUUUAAGAUAGAAUUUGAUUGUAUAAGGAUAAGUGAAUAAGGCAUGUUCUAAGUUCAAUGUUUAGGUUAUGUUUUUUACAAAUGAAAACUUGACCAAUAAUCUCUCAA
RNA transcript from Vitis vinifera (wine grape), 7412 nucleotides. It is a transcript of the gene named disease resistance protein RPV1, with no coding region annotated. The record is from RefSeq and is a predicted model, not a curated record. The transcript is spliced from 17 exons. Lineage: Eukaryota; Viridiplantae; Streptophyta; Magnoliopsida; Vitales; Vitaceae.